UACGAGGGGGGCGAGCGUUGUUCGGAAUUAUUGGGCGUAAAGGGUGCGUAGGCGGUUUGGUAAGUCUUAUGUGAAAUCUACAGGCUCAACUUGUAGUCUGCAUGAGAAACUGCCGGGCUUGAGUGUGGGAGAGGUGAGUGGAAUUCCUGGUGUAGCGGCGAAAUGCGUAGAUAUCAGGAGGAACACCUGUGGCGAAAGCGGCUCACUGGACCAUAACUGACGCUGAUGCACGAAAGCUAGGGGAGCAAACAGG
RNAcentral lists this ribosomal RNA (253 nucleotides) under uncultured bacterium. RNAcentral describes it as "partial 16S ribosomal RNA". It matches the Rfam family "Bacterial small subunit ribosomal RNA", at positions 524 to 776 of the family's 1533-position model. The record is from RNAcentral.